UAAGGCGAUGGAGUUCGCCAUAACCGCCGAACAGGCUGAUGACUCCUACCA
RNAcentral lists this non-coding RNA (51 nucleotides) under Paenibacillus ihumii. RNAcentral describes it as "Fluoride riboswitch". It matches the Rfam family "Fluoride riboswitch aptamer (crcB RNA motif)", at positions 8 to 60 of the family's 64-position model. The record is from RNAcentral. Lineage: Bacteria; Bacillati; Bacillota; Bacilli; Caryophanales; Paenibacillaceae.